This 492-nucleotide ribosomal RNA is filed under the name uncultured bacterium. RNAcentral describes it as "partial 16S ribosomal RNA". It matches the Rfam family "Bacterial small subunit ribosomal RNA", at positions 29 to 507 of the family's 1533-position model. The record is from RNAcentral.
AUUGAACGCUGGCGGCAUGCUUUACACAUGCAAGUCGAACGGUAACAGGCCUUCGGGUGCUGACGAGUGGCGGACGGGUGAGUAAUGCAUCGGAACGUGCCCAGAGGUGGGGGAUAACGCAGCGAAAGCUGUGCUAAUACCACAUGUGAUCUGAGGAUGAAAGCGGGGGACCAGGCAGCAAUGUUUGGCCUCGCGCCUUUGGAGCGGCCGAUGUCAGAUUAGGUAGUUGGUGGGGUAAAGGCCUACCAAGCCGACGAUCUGUAGCUGGUGUGAGAGGACGAUCAGCCACACUGGGACUGAGACACGGCCCAGACUCCUACGGGAGGCAGCAGUGGGGAAUUGGGGACAGUGGGGGCAAGCCUGAUCCAGCGAGGCCGCGUGCGGGGAGAAGGCCUUCGGGUUGUAAACCGCGUUUGUACGGAGCGAAAAGGCUCUGGCUAAUACCUGGGGCUGAUGACGGUACCGUAAGAAGAAGCACCGGCUAACUACGUG